AACGGAGGGCAAAACACAGAAGAGGCGGUGGUUACAUCGUCUGUUUAACGGAUAGUGAGAGAGAGUAAGAUGCCAUCCCAUCAGUUAGUAAGUAGGGUAAGGGCCUACUUAGACGAAGACGGGUACGGGGAAUUAUCGUUUGAUUCCGGAGAGGGAGCCUGAGAGACGGCUACCAGGUCCAAGGACAGCAGCAGGCGCGAAAAUUACCGCAGCCUGCAUUCAGGGCGGUAGUAAGGAGACGUGAAUACGAUGUGCAGGUAAAUGAUGCACUAAAUACAGGAGGACAAGACUGGUGCCAGCACCCGCGGUAAUACCAGCUCCUGGAGUGUCUAUGAUGAUUGCUGCAGUUAAAGAGUUCGUAGUCGGAGCGUUUUGACCGGCGUGACAGACUGCCACUCAAGGGGAGUUUUGCGCCGUGAUUACGCGGAAUGAGGAGCGUCUAGGGGCCAGGUUAUUAAGCGACGAGGGGUGAAAUCUGGUGACUCGCUUAGGAGCGACAGAGGCGAAAGCGCUGGCCAGGGGCGAAUCCGAUGAUAAAGGACGUAGGCUAGAGGAUCGAAGACGAUUAGAGACCGUUGUAGUUCUAGCAGUAAACGAUGCCGAUGCCGUGGUGCUUUGUGAGCGACGCGGAAGAGAAAUCUAGUAGGGCCCUGGGGAGAGUACGCGCGCAAGCGAGAAAUUUAAAGGAAAUUGACGGAAGAACACCACAAGGAGUGGAGUGUGCGGCUUAAUUUGACUCAACGCGGGACAGCUUACCAGGCCCGACGGCCGGACGAGUGUGGUACACGAUAGGCCGGAGAGUGGUGCAUGGCCGUACACAAGAGGGGUG
This 829-nucleotide ribosomal RNA is filed under the name Glugea arabica. Its description in RNAcentral is "SSU rRNA". It matches the Rfam family "Microsporidia small subunit ribosomal RNA", at positions 136 to 929 of the family's 1311-position model. The record is from RNAcentral. Lineage: Eukaryota; Fungi; Microsporidia; Glugeidae.